Molecule: long non-coding RNA, 510 nt
Filed under: Pan troglodytes (chimpanzee)
Lineage: Eukaryota; Metazoa; Chordata; Mammalia; Primates; Hominidae
Description: long non-coding RNA NONPTRT012203
Source: RNAcentral
UUGGAACAUGUUGAGAAGACAUUGUUGUAAUUAAGCACAAGUUAAGCAUACAUAAUAAGCACUUCACAAUCAACCUUUUUUUGAUAUGUGCUCUGUGUAUAUAUUUUAAACAAGUACAGCAGGUAAUUUAAAAAUCUCUUUGGCUGUUUCUUACGUCAUAAUAAUCACACGAUAUAUAGAGAUAUUUAUACACAACUCUGUCUUUCCCACUGGAUCAUAAAAUCCUUUUGGGCAAGGGACAUAUCUUACUCAUUUUCAUCUUCUUCACUUCACUCAUCGUAAAUACUUAUAAAAAGUGGACAGCAAGUGUUUGAGGAACUGGAUUGAAUCAUUGGGUAAGAGUAAAUUACUAUCUGUUCUUUUGGGAGAGACCAAUGUCUCAGACAAUAAAGAGUAAUAGUUUAAAGGGACCGAAUCCCCAUUCCCACUAGAAGGUAACCAUUUUGGAAUUAAUUAUGCCAACCUCCUCCCUAUAAAAAAAUUAAAAAAUUAGCUGGACGUGGUGGCACG